Molecule: long non-coding RNA, 8270 nt
Filed under: Capsella rubella
Lineage: Eukaryota; Viridiplantae; Streptophyta; Magnoliopsida; Brassicales; Brassicaceae
Description: long non-coding RNA (CRUB_LNC001796)
Source: RNAcentral
AAGACUUUUGUGCAUGCAUGUAUGGAAAAAACAACAUGGAUCAUCACGGAAUACAUAAAAUUAAGGCUCUCUAUAUAAACUGACGAAUGACGAAGAGCAAAGAAAAUUCAGGUCUACUUAUAAUAAUUAACUACAGCUUUGUAUAUUUUUUUUUUCCAUUUUUUUGUGUGUACAAAAUAUAUAUAACUAGAUGUCUUUUUUUUUUGUUUUUUUUUUUUUUUGAGUAUAACUAGACUAGAUGUCUUUUGUGUAAAAUAAUUAGGAUUUCAAUAGAAUCAAAGGUGAGAUUGAGAUUCACAAGAAGUUUAACGAUGAGAUGCGUUGUAUCAUGAAACAUUUGACGGUAAAGUCUCCAUUUAAAUGCUGUUAAUUAAAUAUAAGAAUGCAAAUAAUUUAUACACACUUUAUGUUUUUUUCUUUUGAGCCCAAGCUAUGGAUACUUCACUAACAGAAGAAUCUAAAACUACAAAAAUAAUUAUACAAUCUUUAUGUUAUAUAAUAACAUGCACUUUUUAUAUAUAAUAAAACCCAAAAAUAAAUUCCACUAAUAUAAAUAUAUAUACUAACCAUGGAGAAAACGCAUAACUAAACAGAUCUCUUCAAAUGGUUUUUGAUUCGGAUACGUCGUAAAUUUGCAAUUUAUUAUUAACAACAUUUUUUCUUUUUCGAAUAGUAAUAUGUAAUAUAUAUAUUAAUUUACAGAUUUGAAACUUAUAUAUAUAUAUAUAUAUAUAUUCUAAGUUUCAAGAAAAAUUAUACUAAUUAAAAAAAUACACUAGAACGUAAAUAUGGGCUGUCAAUUAAAAAAAACAUCCAAAUCAUACCCCAAAAGAAUAAUAUGAAAUUUCAACUAGUGCUGUUGUAAAGCAUAUACCGUGUUUUCAAAUCUGUAUAUUAUGAAAAAUUUUAAAAGAAAAAAGUAUAUAACAUAUGAAAUUUCAACUAAGUAAGAAGGUAAUUAUGGUUUGUAAAGCAUUCAUGUUUUCAAAUGUAAAUUCUCUUAAUAUUUAUGUAUUUAUAGAACGUUUAGAAACAUGUAUGUUUACAUGUCUACUCAAAUCAAGAAAAUGGUUCUUACAGAUGCUGAGAUUAUUGUUUUUUUAUUACUUUCCCUAAUUAGGUAUGAAAGAGUGGUAUUUCAAUUUUGAUGAGUAAAACUCUGUAUUUAAAAAAGUUUAUCGAGAGAUAAUGCUAAGAUUUAUGAAAUAUUAUAUUUUAUGAAUGCUAAGUUAAUUUGAUAUGCUAGAAAUCAUACAAAAGUAAUGAACAAGUAGUAAGUUAGGGCAAUAGAAAAAUCAAUCCUGUCCAGUAACGUAUUAAGGCACCACUGACGACUAAGUAUGUUCAGUGCCUUCUUACAAUAUUCUUUAAUUGUCACGAUGAAACUUAUUAUUCACAAAUUAGUAAGAUUUUCUAGUAAUAAAAUAAUAAAUAUAUAACACAUGCAGAUUCAAAGUUCUUCAAAAAUUGUACUAAUAAAAACAUGGAAAAAUACGAAGCUAAAAUCCAAGAUUCAUGUCCAUAUUGUUCUUCUUCAAGAUCGCAAUAUAAUUACACCAAAAAAAAAAUACUAUUGGAAAUAAAUUAUAAAAAUAGCAGCAAUACAUAUCUCAGCUAAAGAUUAUAGAGUUUAAAGCAUAUAUAUUAUAUGAGGUGUUUUCAACUGUGUAAAUUGUGGAAUUUUAAUUAGUUAUACAAACUUUAAAGACGUGUAUGUGUAAAUGCUACACCUAAGUUAUUCAUAACAAAAAAUUAUAAAACAUAUGAAAUGUCAACUAAAUAAGAAGGUCAUGGUUAAUUUGUUAAAGCAUGACGUGUAUUCAAAUGUGGAAUUCUAAGUAUUAUGUGUUUGUAGGAAGUUUAAGAAACGUGUAAGUGUAUAUGUCUACGCACAUUACAUUUUCAGAAAUAAAGCUUUUGAAAAUUGAGUCGGUGGGUUGAUCUAGUGGAUGAAAAAAGAAGAAAUACAUAUAAAUUUAACUUAGUAGUAAACUUAGUAAAUAAGAGUUUCCUAAUUAAACAAGUUGUGGUCUUAAUCAAAAAGCCAAGUAAAAAAUGGUAAAAUUAUCAAAGACUUUGUGUGAAAGAACAACAUCAACUUGACACACAUUAACUCUCUAUAUAAACCAGAGGAUGAUCACAACAUUAUGAAGAACAUAAAGAGAAGAAGAGCAAAGAAAACAAAUUAGGUCUAAAUCACUCUUUUUUUUAAUACUACCAAAUUACAAACACAAAUCAAGAAAUGGGUAUUACAGAUGCUGAGCUUCUUGAGCUUGAGGCUGAAAUGGAUCUUGUCGAAGAUGCAUUGGCACAACAUGAGACGAAGGAGAAGGUAUAAAAAGUGUUUCAUUUUGAAACUCUUAUAAUUAACCAACAGCUUUAUAUUUCCAUGGUUUUGUGUGUACAAAAUAUAUAAUUAUGUUUUAUUAACUAUAUUUUUUGUAAAACAAUUAGGAUUGGGAAAUUAAAGUGAUCAAUAGCUUGAUCAGUGUCAGGAGGUUUUAUAAUGAAGAAAGAGACUCAUAAGGAGCUUCUAGCUGAGCUUCACAGUAUCAAAGAAGCCAAAACAGUCAAUGAAGAACAUUUGAAGGUAAAGUAUCCAUUUAAAUGCUCUUAAUUAUAAUUAUAACAAUGUAAACAAUUUAUACAUAAGUUAACUAUUAUUUUCUUUUGGAGUGAAUAAUAAAAAAUGCUAAUAGGAUUAUUGAAAUUUUUUAGGAUUUGAUCAAGAAAAUACGCAAAGCUAUCGUGGAGGAAUAUGGAUUACCCUCUUCUACAUAAAGGAAACAAGUAAAGAGAAUUGAAUUAAUUAGUAGUAAUUUUCAUUUUAUUGUCGUUUCUUUUAAACCUUAAUUAAAAAGCUUUUAUGGGAAUAAUUAAAUUUAGGUUUUAUUGGAAGAAUGAAUAUAUGGUUUGUCAUGUCAAUUUAUCUUUGUUUUCAAAAUUUGUAAAAUUAUCUAUAUAAUCUGAGUAAAUUGUUCUUGAAUAAUAUAUAAUGUGUUUCUCUCUUCUAUUCUCUUUCAAUUUCCCUCUUUCAUGUUGAUGAAACUCCUAUUUUCAGAUUUUUUUUAUCUGAACAAAUUAAAUACACAUAAUUAAUUUAAUUAAUUACACAUCUUUCUUUUAUAUGAAUUAAGAGUAAUUGAUUAUAACUUUGUGGUAUUAAAUAAAAACCUAUACUAUGUUUUUCUAGUAAUAUAACUCGAGGUAUAUAUAUACUAACCAAGUAACCAUGAAGAAAAUCAUAAUAAAACAGAUUUCUUCAAAAGGUAUAUAUAUACUUUUUUCUCUAAUUAGGUAUAGGUAUAAAAGAGACUAAAGAGAGGGGUAUUUUCGAUCUCUUCAGAUAGUUUUUGACUUCUUCUUUUUUCUAAUUGGGUAUAAAAGAGAGUGGUAAAUUAAUUUCGAUGGUAAAAUUUUCUCCAUAUAUGUAUAAAGUUUAUGGAGAGGUGCUAUCAAAGACAACAUCCUUCCAUUUAUUCCAAACUUAUUGAAAUAUUUUAUGUAUGCUAAGUUAAUGAAUUCGAUGUGCUAAAAUCAUACAAAAAUAAUAAACAAUUAGUAAGUACAGUUUGGUUAGGGCAAGAGAAAAUUCAAUUAUGUUAAUUUUGCAUGUCGACCGGUAACGUAUUAAACUUCACUAAAGGCACCACUGACUAGUUAUCGUGCCCAUAGCCCAUUCAUAUGUAUGUGUAUUUGUUUUUAAGUACACAUUACAUUUGCAGAAGUAAAGCUUUUGAAAAUUUGAGUUGGUGUUGAGAAAGAAUAAUUACAUAUACAAACUUAGUAGUAAAUAAGAGUUUCCUAAUCGAGAAAGUUAUUGUGGUCUUAAUCAAAAAGCGAAACAGAAAUAGACUUUUGUUACAAAGUUAUUCAUGUAUUACAAAGAACUUGAUAAGAGUUUAUGAAUAAUCACAUGUGUAUUUGGGAAAAAGUCACAAUCGAAAUAUCAAAGUUAUACACUUAAUUAUAUACAUUUGAAAGAAUCACACAAGUUUAAUAGAUCAAGAAUUGUAUGUAAACCAAGAAUAGUUCCACCACCACCGUCACCGACUGUUCUCCCUCCUCCUCCUCCUCCCCCUCAUCCUCCGCCGCCGUGAAUAGACUAUUAUAUACACAAAUUUAGUAGUAAAUAUUAUCCAAAAUAAAAAAGCCAAAAUAAAAAUGGUAAUAUUAUCGAAGACUUUCUGUGGAAAUCAACACGGAAUAACAUAACUUAAUGCAUUUUACCUACACAUGACACACACUAGAACUAAUAAUUCUCUAUAUAAACCACAUAGGAUCAAACAAACAUUAAGAAGAGCAAAGAAAAAAAAUUAGGCCUAAUUAGUCUAUCACUCUUGUUCAAAUACUACCAAACAAAACAUAUCAAUAAACAAUGGUUCUUACAAUCGUCUCCAUGAAGCAUUGUUUCCAGUAUCUUUGUUCUCAACAUUUGUAUCAAUAAUCAAUUAAUGAAGUAUCAAUCUUGAAUAAUUAAUUUAUAAUGUGUUUCUGUCUUGUAUUCUCUUUAGAAUUCAACUUCCCUCUUUCUGGUUAAUGAAACUCCAAUUUUAAGAUUUUUAACUGAACAAAUUAAAUACACAUAAUUACACAUGUUUCUUUUAUAUGGGGAGUAAUUACACAUGUUUCUUUUAUACGAAGAGUAAUUAACACUAUGUUUUGUUCCAGUAAUAUAACUCUAUAUAUAUACUAACCAUGAAGAAAAUCCAUUAUUUUAUCUUUGAAUUUCCAAUAUAUAAUCUGUGGAGCAUAAAGUCUUCUAGAGACAAUAUACAUUUUCAGUCUUCUUCAAAAUGGUUUUUGACUUUUUUUUUGUAAUGGAAUUUUUCUAAUGACAGGUCUUAUAAAAGAGAGUUACAUUAUUUCAAUUUCGAUUUGUAAAAAACCUUAAUAUUUCUCUAAAUGUAUAAAAAUUUAUAGCUAUAGAGAUGCAUGUGUGUUAGUAAUAAAUUGAUAUGUAGUAUUAACAAACUGAUUACAAUGUUUUUCGUAUAAUAAUUCAUCGUUUCAAGAAAAGUUAAUGUCCUACUAAUUAAAAAUAAAAACUAUACAUUAAAAAGGUAAAUAUGGUGUAAAGAUAAAAACGGCUAAAUGAAAGCUGGCGACGUUUGUUCUUCACAAUCACUAAAAUUAAAAGUUUGUGGUAUGCUUUGUAAAGCAUGAUGAGUAUUCAAAUGUUGAAUUCUUAGUAUUGUGUAUUUAUAGAAAGUUUGGAAACGUGUAUGAGUAUAUGUCUACGCACAUUACAUUUGCAGAAUUAAAACUUUUGAAAAUUUGAGUCGGUGGGUUGAUCUAAUGUAUGAAAAAGAAGAAAUGUACAUACAAAUUUAGCAAUAAACUUAGUAAAUAAGAGUUUCCUAAUUGAACAAGUUGUGUUCUAAAUCAAAAAGCAAAAUAGAAAUGGUAAAAUAUCAAAGACUUUUUUGCAUGGAAGAAACAACAUCAACUUGACACACCCUACAUCUAUAAUUCUCUAUAUAAACCAGAGGAUCAAACAUUAAGAAGAACAUAAAAGAGAAGAAGAGCAAAAAAAAAAACUAAGCUAUUUUUUUUAUAUAUAACUAACUAGACUUUUUUUUUGUAUAAAAUAAUUAGAUUUGGUAUGAAAACAAAGCUAUCAACGACAUGUUCAAUAAAAGUAUAGCAAGGUUUGGUCCUCCAGCAGGUGAGACUGAGACACUCAAGAAGUUUGAUGAUGAGAUGCGCCGUAUAAUCGAAGCAAAAAUAGAAAAUGUUGAAGAUGUGCAGGUAAAAUAUCAAUUUAGAUGCUCUUAAUUAAAUAUAACAAUACAUUAAUUUAUGCUAUUAUUUUCUUUUUGAGUGAAUUGAAUGAUUAAAUGCUAAUUGGAUUAUUGAAAAUAUUAGGGUUUGCUCCAGAAAUUAGUUAAACUUAUUGAGGACGAAGAGGCAUCCUCUUCUAAAUAAAGGAAUAAGCAGGCUCCAUGGGAUGACAAAGUAAAGAAGAAUAAUUAGUAGUAAUUUGUUGUUUACCUAAACUUUCAAAUAUGUUAUGAAAUAAUUAAAAAAUCUGGGUUUUCAUGUUAUUUAUCUAUGUUUUCGUAAAUUGUAUGAUUUUAAUAUACAGUCAAUAAUGAAGUAUUUUCUACUAAUCUAAAGCAUGGCUUGUUUUCAAAUGUGAAUUCUGAGUUUUUAUUACUUCUACGCACAUUAACAUUUUCAGAGUUAAAGCUUUUGAAAAUUUGUGUCGGUGUUGAUUCAAUAGAUGAAAAAGAAGAAAUACAUAUAUAAACUUAGUAGUAAACUUGUAGUAAACUUAGUAAGAGUUUCCUAAUCGAAAAAAGUUAUUGUGGCCUUAACUAAAAAGCAAUAUAUAAAUGGUAAUAUAACGAAGACUUUUGUGCAUGGAAGAAACAACAUUUGAUCAACACGGACUACAUAAAAUUAAUGCAUUACACCUAUGCUCUCUUUAUACACUUACGAAUACACAUAUUAAAAAUGAACAAAGGAGCGAAGAGCAAAGAAAAAUUAGGUCUAAAUCUUUCAUCACUCUUGUUCAAAUACUACCAAACAAAACAUAUCAAGAAAAUGGUUCUUGAGCUUGAGGCUGAAAUGGGUUGUAUCAAAGAAGCAAUAACAAAAACUGAAAAAAGAGGAGAAGGUCAAAUAUCAAAGACUUUUGUUACAAAGUUAUUCAUGUAUUACAAAGAACUAGUACAACCCAUUUACCAUGAAUCCCAUGAUAAGUGUUUAUGAAUAAUCACAAUGUGUAUUUGGGAAAAAGUUACAAUCGAAAUAAUUGUUACAGCCUCCAUAUUGGUUUUCUGUUUUAUUCGAAUACCAAAUCAAAAUUAUACACUUAAUAUUUUACCUAUGUACAUGAAUGACUGUAACCAAUUUCUUCCUAACAUGAACCAGAGCUAGAGAUCUAUUAGCUCAACAAGCACAAAAUGGAACCAGAACUAAUCCCACAAAAGUAAAAGUUGUGACCAUUAACCACGAAAAAAAUUUCAAUAGAUUUAUUUAUUUUAAAAUAGUGAUAAUAUGAAAUUUCAAUAGAUUUAUUUAUUUAUUUAUUUCAAUAGAACAAUAAUAUGAAAUUUCUUCAAAAUAUUUUUCUCUUUCUUACCAUGCUCUGGUGCUUUAGUGACACGGUAAAAUAUUAAAAUCCAGUAUGCAUGACACCACUGACUAAUUUAGUGCCAUUACGUAUAUUAUUAGAUUCGGUACGUUGCAAAUUAGAUAUAAUGUUUUUCGAAUAAUAAUAUAUAUCAAAUAAACAACAUACAUAUUCAUCGUUUUCAAGAAAAGUUAAUGUCCUACUAAUUAAAAAGAAAAUUAUACAUUAAAAGGUAAAUAUGAAAGCUGGGCGAUGUGUAUAUUUAAUCACAUAAGGUUAUGAUUUUUUUUUUGUGAAGCAUAUGGCGUGUAUAUUCAAAUGUGAAAUUAUGAGUAUUUUGUAUUUACGGAAAAUUGAGAAACGUGUAUGUGUAUAUGUCUACGCACAUUACAUUUGUAGAAGUAAAGUUUUUGAGAAUUUGAGUCGGUGGGUUGAUCUAAUGGAUAGAAAAAAGAAGUAAUAUGUACAAAAUUAGAAGUAAACUUAGUAAAUAAGAGAUUCCUAGUUGAAAAAGUUGUGGUCUAAAUCAAAAAGCAAAAAUAAAAAUGGUAAAUAUCGAAAAACAUCAGUGGAAGAACAACAUCAACACGGAAUACAUAAGCACCCACUUGACACACACUACAUCUAUAAUUCUCUAUAUAAACUAGAGGAUCAAAACAUUAUGAAGAACAUAAAGAGAAGAAGAGCAAAAAAAAAAAAAUUAGACCUAAGUAUUUCAUAAUUCUUGUUCAAUAGUUCCAAACAAAUCAAAAAAAUGGUUCUUACAAAUGCUGAGAUUCUUGAGAUUGUGGAUGAAAUGUUUAUUAUCACAGAAGCAAUGCAAAAAAAUGCUAAAAAGGAGAUGGUAAAAGUGUUCCAUUUUGAUGAUAUUCUUAUAAUCAAUUAACAGCUUUUGUAUAUAUGUCCGUUGUUCUAUACAGAAUUCACUUUUUUGAUGUUUUUUUUUUUCUAUAAAAUAAUUAGGAUUGGUGUGAAAACAGAGCUACGAACGACAUGUUUAGAGCAAAGUUUGGACCUCCAGAAGAUGAGGCUGAGACUCUCAGGAAGUUAGACGAUGAGAUGCAUUGUAUAAUCGAAGCAAACAUAGAAAAUAUUGGAAAUUUGACGGUAAACUAUUUAUCUUGAUGCUCUUAAUUAAAUAUAACAAGACAUAUAUGUUAUUAUUUUCUUAUGGAGUGAAUAAUUAAAA